AUUGAACGCUGGCGGCAGGCUUAACCCAUUCAAUUCGAGCGGAUGAUGGGAUCUUGCUCCUGGAUUCCGCGGCGGACGGGUGAGUAAUGCCUAGGAAUCUGCCUGGUUGUGGGGGAUAACGUCCCGACACUGGCGCUCAUACCGCAUACGUCCUGCGGCAGCACGUGGGGGCUCUUCUGCCCUCACGCUCUCCGCUUCUCCGGGGUGGGAUUAGCUAGUUGGAGGGGUAACGGCCUGCCCAGGCGACGUUCCGUAACUGGUCUGAGAGGAUGAUCAGUCACACUAGGAUUGAGACACGGGGGCAGCGCACAGGCAAGGCAGCAGUGGGGAAUAUUGGACGAAGGGCGAAAGGCUGAUCCAGGCAAGCCGCGUGGGUGAAGAAGGGCUUCGGAGCGUAAAGCACUAUAAGUUGGGAGGAAGGGAAGUAAGUUAAUACCGGGCUGUUGUGACGUUACCAACAGAAUAAGCAACGGCGAACUACGUG
This 484-nucleotide ribosomal RNA is filed under the name uncultured bacterium. RNAcentral describes it as "partial 16S ribosomal RNA". It matches the Rfam family "Bacterial small subunit ribosomal RNA", at positions 30 to 507 of the family's 1533-position model. The record is from RNAcentral.